Molecule: ribosomal RNA, 253 nt
Filed under: uncultured bacterium
Lineage: Bacteria
Description: partial 16S ribosomal RNA
Rfam family: Bacterial small subunit ribosomal RNA
Source: RNAcentral
UACGGAGGGUGCAAGCGUUGUCCGGAUUUAUUGGGUUUAAAGGGUGCGUAGGCGGCCCGGUAAGUCAGUGGUGAAAGCCUCCAGCUCAACUGGAGAACUGCCAUUGAUACUGUCGGGCUUGAGUACAGACGAGGUAGGCGGAAUUGAUUGUGUAGCGGUGAAAUGCAUAGAUACAAUCAAGAACUCCGAUUGCGUAGGCAGCUUACUAGGCUGUAACUGACGCUCAGGUGCGAAAGCGUGGGGAGCAAACAGG